GUUCAUCACAUGAGUGUGAUGAUGACAACACUAAGCACCUGAAUAUGGAUCAGAAUUACAGAAAAAUAAAAAAUGAAAAAUGACGAGCACAGUUUUUGGCUCUGCCUUUUAUAGGAUGCAUGGAUUUCAUUUGUUUAGACACUUCGAUAGCAUUGAAGUAUAUCGUAUUCACUUAGCUCAAGCUCAAAACCUCUCCAUUUGUUAAAGAUGCCCAAAAACUAUUCAUGAAAGUGAAAA
RNAcentral lists this long non-coding RNA (237 nucleotides) under Daucus carota (carrot). Its description in RNAcentral is "long non-coding RNA (DCAR_LNC004734)". The record is from RNAcentral. Lineage: Eukaryota; Viridiplantae; Streptophyta; Magnoliopsida; Apiales; Apiaceae.